GUAAGGAAUAUUGGACAAUGGGGGAAACCCUGAUCCAGCCAUGCCGCGUGAGUGAAGAAGGCCUUCGGGUUGUAAAACUCUUUCAGAUGUGAAGAUGAUGACGGUAACAUCAGAAGAAGCUCCGGCUAACUUCGUGCCAGCAGCCGCGGUAAUACGAAGGGAGCGAGCGUUGUUCGGAAUCACUGGGCGUAAAGAGUGCGUAGGCGGUUAUACAAGUCAGGAGUGAAAUCCCAGAGCUUAACUUUGGAAUUGCUUUUGAAACUGUAUAGCUAGAGUCCCGGAGGGGUUAAUGGAAUUCCGAGUGUAGAGGUGAAAUUCGCAGAUAUUCGGAGGAACACCAGUGGCGAAGGCGAUUAACUGGACGGGCACUGACGCUGAGGUGCGAAAGCGUGGGGAGCAAACAGGAUUAGAAACCCUUGUAGUCC
RNAcentral lists this ribosomal RNA (425 nucleotides) under uncultured bacterium. RNAcentral's name for it is "bacterial SSU rRNA". It matches the Rfam family "Bacterial small subunit ribosomal RNA", at positions 354 to 796 of the family's 1533-position model. The record is from RNAcentral.